AAAUAGAGGGCUGGGUGUGUGUGUGUGUGUGAGAGUGAGUGAAAGACGUGUGUGUCCAUGGUGAGUCAGCCCUGCGCUAUGGAGGGCCUUUGGCAGGCCUCUCCUUUUGUCUCCAGCUGGGACAGUGUUCCACUCGUUUGCUCCGUUCAGCAGCCUCACCGGCCAGAACAAAACACUUUGUUUCAUCACCACUACGGCUGCCGAAUGGUGCUCACUAGGGAUACACGAUUAAUAUAAAAUAAACAUCCACAUCGCAAGAGGCUGCGAUAUCAUUCUAGAUUCACUAUAGAUGGGUUAGCUGACAACGAAAACGAUGUGCACGCCUCCAUAGUGCAGAAGUCAGCGUGUUGUUGAAAUUCUGGAUGGCCAGAUUGCUAGAAAGAAUAAGAAACGGCCAUGUGGGGAAUCCUUAAAAUUGUCUGGAGCCUGGUGUUGUGGCCACGGAGCUUUCACUCUGAUGGAACUAGGUUGCCGCUGCUGCGCAACAAUGAUGUCCUUCCUCCCAGAGAUGAGCAAGCAUCCCCAGGACUGGACACAACCAGGCAAAACAUAUUUUUGAGAAGAUCAGGACUUUUGCAAUGAAAAGGCCAGACAAUUACACGUCCUGCUCCAAAGAGCAAGAGAGAAAUAUGUUCAGUUUGUUCAUAACUUGAAAAAAAGUCACUCAAACAAUGUCAUGAUAAAAGCCUAGAUACUGUUUUACCUAAGCCCUUGUGUUAAGUUCUCUAAUUUUAGGCUACUACCUUUAGCACUUGGAAGUUAAUAAAGUAUUUUAAUCUUGAAAUAUUUUCA
Molecule: long non-coding RNA, 792 nt
Organism: Oncorhynchus kisutch (coho salmon)
Lineage: Eukaryota; Metazoa; Chordata; Actinopteri; Salmoniformes; Salmonidae
Exons: 2
Source: RefSeq, a predicted model, not a curated record